This 165-nucleotide unclassified non-coding RNA is filed under the name uncultured Hypocreales. RNAcentral's name for it is "sequence contains ITS2". The record is from RNAcentral. Lineage: Eukaryota; Fungi; Ascomycota; Sordariomycetes; Hypocreales.
CAACCCUCGGGCCCCCUUCCGGGGCGGGCCCGGCGUUGGGGAUCGGCCGCCAAGCGCCGCCCCCGAAAUCCAGUGGCGGCCACGCCCGCGGCGACCUCUGCGCAGUACAACCACUCGCACCGGGAGCCGGGCGCGGCCACGCCGUGAAACCCCCGACCCUUCCAC